Strigops habroptila (Kakapo) is the source of this 3696-nucleotide long non-coding RNA. RefSeq lists it as uncharacterized. NCBI's taxonomy places the organism in Eukaryota, Metazoa, Chordata, Aves, Psittaciformes, Psittacidae. The transcript has 6 exons. The record is from RefSeq and is a predicted model, not a curated record.
CCCAGUUCAAUAGAUACCUGGGCAGGUGCUUAAAUUCUUUCCUUUUAAACAGACGAUGUAAAGACCUGUGAAAUGCCCUGCCAAGCUUGCACUAGGAGGCUUGAGGCUUGCUGCUUGCUGGGGUGGUGCUCUGAUCACCUCCUGUUACAAGUGCUUUCUUUAGAAAAGCUCUCCUGUUGUUCAGACCUUUCCAUAAGCUACAUUGAAGCACACAAAUUAUUAAUACAUACAAGCAGUUGUCAUGGAGAUAGUAUUAUCCAAAGUGGGGUUUCUUAAUAAGUGGCACAAAGUUGGCACAUCCCACAUGCCUUGUACAGAGAGUUCCUACAGAAUGGUUCCUGCGUUAGACAUGGGAUAGAUCCGUAUCUUUGCCUUUCGUGCCAGCGUGCUCUGGAGAAACCACUGUUGCUGGCUUUCAGAGGGUUGGCUUUAGGAAUCUGGAAAAUGUAGGACUUGUACGAGGUGUUGGGUUUAUUUCAAGUCAUAACAUCUUCGCAAGGGGCCGUACAGCUCGCUUCUGUGAACCCUCAAACACAACGUGACAGCUGAAUUAGGGCUGAAACCACUGUGGGAUAUAUUUUCUCUCCUCAUGUUGGUGCAGAGACUUAGAGCAAAACGCAGUAACUAACCCAGAAGGAGGCAGCUGGCUGAUGUAGCUGGGGAGGCUGCAGGGCUGCAAUGACGGUGGUUUUCCCUGGAACAAGACUGCAAUCCUAGUAAAUGCCUAUAAAUCCAAGAGGACCAGGUGCUGUACCUGCAGACUUAAGGGUAUUAAACCAGAGCUCUCUGAGAUGUUUUGCCCAUGCUUCUCGUAACACUUCUGCUCUUUAACUGUGCCCUUGCAAAGUAGCACACAGCACAGUUCAGCUGAUAAGUAGGUCUCUUACCUUUAUUCUGUGCUUCCUUCUCUUGUCCUGGAGAUCCUGUUACACUUCAGCCAGGCAGCACCUAACUGAUGAUGCAGCCAUUCCGUAGCCUAUUUAUUUGAGUGAAUGGAUGACAUUCUCUGCACGUUAUAGUUACUGCUUUCUUUUUUUUCUUCCCCAGAUACUCUUCAGUUAAUGCUACAUCACAGUUACUGUCAUAAUGACCUUCAUCUGGGCCAAGCAGCUAGAGAAUUCAGUUACAGAAAGACUGCAAAAAGGAUUGCAGCAAGAAAAUGUGAGGUAUUCCUUCCUCCCUGUGCUGCCAGCACUGCAUGAGCGGAGAGGCGAUGCAGGGCCCAUUACAACAGCAGUGCACCUCACCUGCACAGAACGAGAGGCAGAAGCUUGCUGGCUUCACGAGGGAGGCUCUCCAGCAUGGAAUCACUGGCCCGAUGCUCUGGGACACUGCACAGCGAGUUUCAUUCUGGUUCAUGUUUUACUAGCAAAAAUAACAUACAAAACCCUGGCUGACUCCCUCAGAAGAGUGUUUAUUUUGGAAGCGGCACCUUCCGGGCACCGAAGCACUGACACAAGUUGGCCUCAACAGAUGUCCAAGCGGAGGCAAAUGUACCAAAAUCUGUGAAGACUUAAUCAUGUGGAGAUAAUAUACCAAGUGAAAGAACUUCCACCAUAAAGGAAAUAACCUGUUCAGUGGUUGCAGGCACAAGGGCAGUUUCACUUAUCCUGAAGCUGUGCCUACGAUGGAGUCAGGACCGCAGCACCGGACAAUCAGAUUUCGAGCUGGUGAGACUUUUCCUCCAUUGCAUCUGAAGAAUGGUGUUGAGCAGAGGUUUAAGAAGUCCAAGUCCAGCUCUUACUAUCAGCAACGCCCCACAGCCAACAAGAAAGGACACGUGUCUAAAGCACUUCAGAAUAAUGCUUGAUGUGAUUUAUCCUCAGUUCACCCCCGGUGAACACCAACAGUCAAGGUACUGCCGGCUCUCUUCAGUCACCCUGUAGUAACUCACCACUAAUGAGCGCCUGGUCAUCGUGCUGCAGAGCAUCAGCAGUCGGGGCUGGUAACAGGAAACAGCAAAGGUAACCAUAAAAUACUUGUUAAUUCCCUGUCAGGUUUUUGAUUGGAAUUUCUGUUCUCUAAUAGAUCUUCCACCCAGAAAGGCACGUUUGCAUCUUUUCCUUAAUCAUACAUGAUUAUGCAGAUUCCUUAUAUGUUAUUUAUUCCUGUAGCAUGGCAUUAAUUCACAAUACAUUCAGUGAAUUUAGACAUGGAUAUUGGAGAAAUGCAGUUUAAACAUGACUACAGUAUCACAGCUCUGCAAUUACUACCCCCUUUUUUCUUUAGAUACUGAACAGGCCAAAAUCAGUGUAGGGGGUUCAGUUUGUAAAGCCAAGCUUGUGGUUUCAUGUCCUGGGUGAAGCAGCCUCUCUUUUCCCUGUGCCCCUCUCACUCUCCCCAUCCCAGGCUACUGUCUCGUUGGUGCCACUGCAUCUUCCUGAGGCUGCUGAGCAGGAAAAUGAGCCAAGUUCAAAAUAACCAUCUUUGGGUUAUUUUAGUUGAGAUCCAGUCCUUGCCCGGGUUCACUGCACAACCCCACAUGCAAUUACGCCAGCACAGCUCAGGGAAAGAUGUGGGACUAGAAACAAACAACAUGACUUUGGGCUGCACAGGGCAGAGCUGCUGCCAAAAGAAACGUUAGUGGAGCUGUACCAAAUAUUUGUUUGGAAACAGUUUUAAAGUGAAGUUUCAGAACACUUGUAGAUGAAACGGGGUUAGUUGUUGGGAUAAAAGGCUGCAGCCAAAGUUAAGUCUGGCUUCUAAUUAUACAGGAUAAACAGAUACAAAAUUAGCCUCUGUGAAGUCCAAAUAGGUAAUUUCGCAGUGAAGAGUUAAAUACUGGAUAUUUAACAAUAAAAAGUAUUAAAUGGUUUUAAAUCCUCAUGCCUGUCACGCUGAUCACCAAGCUACAGCCUAUAACUGCUGUUCAGGAGUAAAGGGGUUUCCUGGGCAAUGGUGACCACGAACUCCAGCACCUCUUCACCCCGCUGGAAACACACCAAAAAUGGCUUUUGCCUAAAAUGUCCCUUCUCACUUCUUCACAUUAUUCUCAUUGAUGAUGCUGGGGAUGGAAAACUUGGGAAGCAGAGGUUGUUGAGAGCCGUACCCUGUAGAAACCUGUUGUUUAAUGUUCAGCACACAGGAAUAAUGGCUUUUGUUCAAACCAUACGUAAUGUUUUUCAUCUGGCAACUGUUUUCUCUCUAAAUGAUAAAACAUUAAAACCUGAACUAAAAAUAAUCCUGUUUUCUGUUCCAGUUCAGGAAAUUUCUAUGAGCCAAGUUUUGUUGUUGUUUUUUACUGACUGUUAUUCCAAGUAUUCAACUCAGCAGCUGCUGACUCCACAAUCAUAGGGCUGGUUUCAUACAACCUUCAUUUAUUGUCUUUUGGUUUUGGAAACUCUGACAAAACAUCAGCUGGAACACUCAGCCCAGCCUUUUCUUGUCAUACCUGGAAUAAACCAGCGGAUGAUCUUCUGCAAGAGAAGAUCAUUCCCUAGUAAAGCACAGACCCCAGAGGAUGUCCCAUAUUCCCUAGCUGGAAGAUCCUUUAGCAAGCUAGUGAGGUUUUGAUGCUAAAACCACCUGUAAAAUACAAACACCAUUAGACGGGAAAAGUAGGAAAGUAUCAACGUGAGAAGUCUCCAAGGCUGGAUCCUGCAGCUUUUUCCCUCCUGUGCUUACUCCAGCUGCAGGCACGCAGUCCCCAGUUCAGCGGUGUGUUUAAGCCCCCAGCCCAGGCACCUGCUGCAAAAG